Long non-coding RNA from Oncorhynchus gorbuscha (pink salmon), 1649 nucleotides. RefSeq lists it as uncharacterized. NCBI's taxonomy places the organism in Eukaryota, Metazoa, Chordata, Actinopteri, Salmoniformes, Salmonidae. The record is from RefSeq and is a predicted model, not a curated record. The transcript is spliced from 3 exons.
GAGGUAGGCUACACCAGAUGACCAGAGCUUUUUCUAAUUACCACUGGACCCUGGUCAAAAUCUGGAGUCCAGGGCUGGUGCAGAGCAUGGCGUAACAUAGCUAGCAGCGAAGCCUGGCCAGUCCGCUCAUUGCUGCCAUCUUGAAGUGUUUAGUUGGCAUUGUGGCGACUUGAGCCAGGGAACCACUUGUUACUGCCUCUCUCACAACACCAGUGUUUACCAUGUGUCCAUAAUGAGUACACACACACCUCAGCAACCCCCUGGAGGACAUUGUAGUGAGGGAAGCAGGUGGUUGGACAUGUGCUCACAGUGGCUAACUGUGUUUAGUUACAUAACAGAGGUAUCCUCCAUCUGUAAAGAGACGUGACCAGGGUAACAUUCUUUAGGGAGGUGUCCUCCAUCUGUAAAGAGACUUGACCAGGGUAACAUUCAGUAGGGAGGUAUCUUCCAUCUGUAAAGAGACGUGACCAGGAUAACAUUCAGUAGGGAGGUAUCUUCCAUCUGUAAAGAGACGUGACCAGGGUAACAUUCAGUAGGGAGGUAUCUUCCAUCUGUAAAGAGACGUGACCAGGGUAACAUUCAGUAGGGAGGUAUCUUCCAUCUGUAAAGAGACGUGACCAGGGUAACAUUCAGUAGGGAGGUAUCCUCCAUCUGUAAAGAGAUGCGACCAGGGUAACAUUCAGAGCGGUGUUCCAUCUGUAAAGAGACAUGACCAGGGUAAAAUUCAGUAGGGAGGUAUCUUCCAUCUAUAAAGAGACGUGACCAGGGUAACAUUCAGUAGGGAGGUAUCCUCCAUCUGUAAAGAGACGUGACCAGGGUAACAUUCAGUAGGGAGGUAUCCUCUAUCUGUAAAGAGACGUGACCAGGGUAACAUUCAGAGAGGUGUCCUCCAUCUAUAAAGAGACGUGACCAGGGUAACAUUCAGUAGGGAGGUAUCCUCCAUCUGUAAAGAGACGUGACCAGGGUAACAUUCAGCAGGGAGGUAUCCUCCAUCUGUAAAGAGACGUGACCAGGGUACCAUUCAGUAGAGAGGUAUCCUCCAUCUGUAAAGAGACGUGACCAGGGUAACAUUCAGUAGGGAGGUAUCCUCCAUCUGUAAAGAGACGUGACCAGGGUAACAUUCUUUAGGGAGGUAUCCUCCAUCUGUAAAGAGACGUGACCAGGGUAACAUUCAGUAGGGAGGUAUCCUCCAUCUGUAAAGAGACGUGACCAGGGUAACAUUCAGUAGGGAGGUAUCCUCCAUCUGUAAAGAGACGUGACCAGGGUAACAUUCAGUAGGGAGGUAUCCUCCAUCUGUAAAGAGACGUGACCAGGGUAACAUUCAGUAGGGAGGUAUCUUCCAUCUGUAAAGAGACGUGACCAGGGUAACAUUCAGUAGGGUGGUAACCUCCAUCUGUAAAGAGACGUGACCAGGGUAACAUUCAGUAGGGAGCAACUAUAUCACAAAGUAACACAGACAUAGAUGAUGCUAAUCAAUCCCAGAUAGAUCAGACAUCACUAAUCUAAUCAAUCCCAGAUAGAACAGACAUCACUAAUCUAAUCAAUCCCAAAUAGAUCAGACAUCACUAAUCAAUCCCAGAUCAGACCCUGUAAAGUAGAGACACUGUAAAGUAGUUCCUGUAUUCACAGAGACACUGUAAAGUAGUGCC